CGUGCUUAACACAUGCAAGUCGAACGCUGAAGCCUGGCUUUUGUUGGGUGGAUGAGUGGCGAACGGGUGAGUAACACGUGAGUAACCUGCCCCCUUCUUUGGGAUAACGCCCGGAAACGGGUGCUAAUACUGGAUAUUCACUGGUCUUCGCAUGGGGGUUGGUGGAAAGGGUUUUCUGGUGGGGGAUGGGCUCGCGGCCUAUCAGCUUGUUGGUGGGGUGAUGGCCUACCAAGGCUUUGACGGGUAGCCGGCCUGAGAGGGUGACCGGUCACAUUGGGACUGAGAUACGGCCCAGACUCCUACGGGAGGCAGCAGUGGGGAAUAUUGCACAAUGGGCGCAAGCCUGAUGCAGCGACGCCGCGUGAGGGAUGGAGGCCUUCGGGUUGUGAACCUCUUUCGCUCAUGGUCAAGCCGCAACAAUGGUUGUGGUGAGGGUAGUGGGUAAAGAAGCGCCGGCUAACUACGUGCCAGCAGCCGCGGUAAUACGUAGGGCGCGAGCGUUGUCCGGAAUUAUUGGGCGUAAAGGGCUUGUAGGCGGUUGGUCGCGUCUGCCGUGAAAUCCUCUGGCUUAACUGGGGGCGUGCGGUGGGUACGGGCUGACUUGAGUGCGGUAGGGGAGACUGGAACUCCUGGUGUAGCGGUGGAAUGCGCAGAUAUCAGGAAGAACACCGGUGGCGAAGGCGGGUCUCUGGGCCGUUACUGACGCUGAGGAGCGAAAGCGUGGGGAGCGAACAGGAUUAGAUACCCU
RNAcentral lists this ribosomal RNA (748 nucleotides) under Schaalia odontolytica. RNAcentral's name for it is "bacterial SSU rRNA". It matches the Rfam family "Bacterial small subunit ribosomal RNA", at positions 43 to 788 of the family's 1533-position model. The record is from RNAcentral. Lineage: Bacteria; Bacillati; Actinomycetota; Actinomycetes; Actinomycetales; Actinomycetaceae.